ACCUUUCAAAUCAGGGUGCGGCGCGGCCCCCGAGGAGCGGAAACAAUCCUUGGGAGGUAUGCGGGGGCUUCGAGCCCCCCAUUUACGCACGCACGACUGCCAUCCUUACUUUACGAGCACCUUCUGUUCUCCCUCGGCGGGGCAACCUGCCGUUGGAACCGAAUAACUCUUUUUGCAUCUAGCAUUACCUGUUCCGAAACAAACAAUCGUUA
RNAcentral lists this unclassified non-coding RNA (212 nucleotides) under soil metagenome. Its description in RNAcentral is "partial internal transcribed spacer 1". The record is from RNAcentral.